This is a long non-coding RNA of Homo sapiens (human), 621 nucleotides long. The record is from Ensembl. NCBI's taxonomy places the organism in Eukaryota, Metazoa, Chordata, Mammalia, Primates, Hominidae.
UUUCUUCUAGAGGAGAUGACAUUUGAGCAAGAUCUUAAAGAAAAUCAGAUGCCUUCACCUGACCACUGCUUGGUGAUCCCAUGGCACUUUGUACAUCUCUCCAUUAGCUCUCAUCUCACCAGCCCAUCAUUAUUGUAUGUGCUGCCUUCUGAAGCUUGCAGCUGGCUACAUCAGUCCAAUGUGAAUAACAAAAUGAAGAAUAUCAGGAUGAUUCGAGACCAGGAAUACUACAGAUGUCCAACACUUCCACCUGGAAUCCCCAAAGAGGCCCGCUUUUAGCCUCCACACUGGUUGGUGACCUGACAUGAGAGAAAUGACAGAAAUCUCAGAAGACUGGCCUCAUGAAUAAUCUUCAGUUUCAAUGUAACAAAGCAAGCCUUCUAGAAAUUACCUGCCUCUGCAGUUCACUCUGCUGCUUCAGAUGAAAAUUUUCAGAGUUCCACCACCCCUGGAGAAUACAGCAACUGUUUACUGCAAUCAGCAAUCAGGAUGGAGAAUUCGUGCUGUGGGGGCCAAUCCAGGGGUUCCCUGUCAUGAGCAGUGGGGAGUGUGUAGAACCCAUGAGAGAUGGGCUUUGGUCAAUUAAAGCUUGUUGAAGGUGUAGAUAAGGGUGUUAGCUCC